Molecule: ribosomal RNA, 253 nt
Filed under: uncultured bacterium
Lineage: Bacteria
Description: partial 16S ribosomal RNA
Rfam family: Bacterial small subunit ribosomal RNA
Source: RNAcentral
UACGGAGGAUGCAAGCGUUAUCCGGAAUGAUUGGGCGUAAAGCGUCCGCAGGUGGCUGUGUAAGUCUGCUGUUAAAUAGUGAGGCUCAACCUCAUAAAGGCAGUGGAAACUACACGGCUAGAGUGCGUUCGGGGCAGAGGGAAUUCCUGGUGUAGCGGUGAAAUGCGUAGAGAUCAGGAAGAACACCGGUGGCGAAAGCGCUCUGCUAGGCCGCAACUGACACUGAGAGACGAAAGCUAGGGGAGCGAAUGGG